This 1120-nucleotide long non-coding RNA is filed under the name Nicotiana tabacum (common tobacco). Its description in RNAcentral is "long non-coding RNA (NTAB_LNC000489)". Lineage: Eukaryota; Viridiplantae; Streptophyta; Magnoliopsida; Solanales; Solanaceae. The record is from RNAcentral.
UCAAAUUCAACUCACUUAUAUGACUUCUCUAACUUGGUUACGUGAGAACUUUAGUAUCUUCAACAAAUUCAACAUGAUUUCAUGGCAAUUCAACAAGAUCUCAUGAGCAUCUUCAAGAAUUCAAAUGUGAAUUCUUAGUAUCCUGGUAACGUGAGGCUUCUCUAAAUUCACCAAAAUGAUUUGCUCAUCUCUACUAAUUCAAGAGAUGAAGCUUCAGCAAACUCAUUCAUGAAAGACUAGAUAUUAGCAAUGUAAUUUUACUACAAAAUUCAUACGAGACUAAAUAAUGUUAUAGCAACGGGAUUUUGCGGUUCUAAGGGAGUACGGUGCAAUCUUUCUCAAGAAUAUUAUACGGAUUUUUUCCUACUCCGAUCUUGCCGAUUACAUGUUAUCACAAUUGACGUGUAUUAGAGGGAUUGUCAAGAGAACCGACUCAGGUAUGUUAAGGCUAUCCCUUCUUUCUUUCUGGCAUGAUUCAUACGACACAAACGAAACGAACAAAUGCACAACUUCCAAUAAAUGCACAACUUCCAGCAAAUGCACAACUACAGUAAACACAAAAGCCAUAAUGGUUGGAUGCCUCAUGGUCCUCUCUGAAACGCCAACUACCAAUGCCUUUGUAUUUCUUCUGACCUGUGUGUUAGUGAUCAACAUUUUAAUUGGCAUGUUUGUUUUGAGGCAUAUCAAAUCGCCAGUUCUGAACUUGAUCAUAUUUCCUGUCACAUAAACUUUUUCAGGUGGUGCAGUUUCCAGAUCCUGAAAUAUUCAUUGAAGAAGCAUCUCAAGGGAUUUAAGUAUUUUCUGAAUUAAAAAAUAAAAGCUAUCAAGGCAACUAAGUAGAGCAUAGUUAUGUAAUGAUAACUUGAUGAUCUAGGAUAAAUAGAAGGAAACUGCCCAUAUUCCCCUCCUAAGAAAAAAGUAAAAGAGACCACGAAAAAAGAAAUUAGCAGAAAGAAAAGGUAAAUGAAAGAAAUAUAAUUUAGGAGCGAGCCUUCUCUACAGAUCUUCUGUUGCCAAGAAGGCUUCAGGGUUUCCAAUUAGCUUAUGUGCUUUUAAUUAGAUAAUAAUCUUUUGUACAGCUCAUAAUAUUAAUGAAUAGAUGUCACGACCCGAAAUUCCC